ACACACACACACACACACACGAGCCCCGGAGCUGAAACUAAAUUAAGAAAGCACAUGAUUAAGAGACAAGCGUCUACGGGGCCUGUCAUUUCAGCAUCCUUCCAUCAUAACAUUGUGGCACAGGGAAAAUUUGCUUGAAAACCCUUGCAAGAAAAAAAAAUAAAAGAGAGAGGCACAGAGAGAAUGAGAGAAAGAAUGAGAGAGAGUGCUUGGAGCCUGGCUCCGGAUUGCCUUCGGAAGAGGAGGGAGAGGAGAGGUUGGCAAGAUCCCAGAGGUCUCCAGGGACUUCUUGGGAAACGCGUAUUUACGGAUCUCUCGGCCACCAACGAGCAGUCCAGUUCAUCAUAUGGAUACUUUCUCAAAUGGCAGUUGUUGUGGAGGGAAGCCGCCAAAGAAGACCAGGAUCCGUAAAUGGAGGAAAGACCACAACUUUAUUAAACAAACAGCAACAAAGAAAAAAAGAAGAGGAGUAAAAUGUCACCAGGCCCACAGAACAGUUUUUCCCUCUUUCCCCAGUUACAUGUGAUCCUGGAGGCAUACAUGAUGCAGCAAUUCCCAUUGCUAAUAUUUGUGCAAAAGAGGAAUUCUGCUUCAUCCCCCACAUUUCCUCCAAAGACAUACCAUUUAACUUGCUGGAUGGGAGUACAGGAGAGAUAACUAUAAGCUACUGUUGGAUGACUCUCUUCCUGUCAACCAUAUUAAUUUUUUUCUUAAUACUGCAAAAAGAAGAUGGCCAAAUGAAUAGAAUUUAUUUGUUAUGGUCUCUUAUUUCAGGGCCCAUUUAAAUUGGGGGGGGGGGGGAGGAGAAAUUAUAUUUUGCUUGGUAAUCUCAACAAAGCUGGCAUUUCUACAUGACUUGUGGGGAAAUAUGCACCUCAUUAGAAAAAGGCUUAUAGAACACACCUGAGAGAUAAAAUGUGAACAGUGGCGGGUUA
Long non-coding RNA from Sceloporus undulatus (fence lizard), 935 nucleotides. RefSeq lists it as uncharacterized. The record is from RefSeq and is a predicted model, not a curated record. The transcript has 4 exons. Lineage: Eukaryota; Metazoa; Chordata; Lepidosauria; Squamata; Phrynosomatidae.